CCUACGGGGAGCAGCAGUCGAGAAUCAUUCACAAUGGGGGAAACCCUGAUGGUGCGACGCCGCGUGGGGGAAUGAAGGUCUUCGGAUUGUAAACCCCUGUCAUGUGGGAGCAAAUUAAAAAGAUAGUACCACAAGAGGAAGAGACGGCUAACUCUGUGCCAGCAGCCGCGGUAAUACAGAGGUCUCAAGCGUUGUUCGGAAUCACUGGGCGUAAGGCGUGCGUAGGCUGUUUCGUAAGUCGGGUGUGAAAGGCGCGGGCUCAACCCGCGGACGGCACAUGAUACUGCGAGACUAGAGUAAUGGAGGGGGAACCGGAAUUCUCGGUGUAGCAGUGAAAUGCGUAGAUAUCGAGAGGAACACUCGUGGCGAAGGCGGGUUCCUGGACAUUAACUGACGCUGAGGCACGAAGGCCAGGGGAGCGAAAGGGAUUAGAUACCCGUGUAGUC
RNAcentral lists this ribosomal RNA (446 nucleotides) under uncultured bacterium. RNAcentral's name for it is "partial 16S ribosomal RNA". It matches the Rfam family "Bacterial small subunit ribosomal RNA", at positions 338 to 795 of the family's 1533-position model. The record is from RNAcentral.